RNAcentral lists this ribosomal RNA (300 nucleotides) under uncultured bacterium. RNAcentral describes it as "bacterial SSU rRNA". It matches the Rfam family "Bacterial small subunit ribosomal RNA", at positions 114 to 414 of the family's 1533-position model. The record is from RNAcentral.
CGCGUAGGAAUCUGUCUAUUAGUCUGGGACAACUCGGGGGAACGUCGAGCUAAUACUGGAUAAGCUCUACGGAGGAAAGGUAGGGAGCUUGCUCCUAUCACUAAUAGGUGAGCCUGCGUUGGAUUAGCUUGUUGGUAGGGUAAAGGCCUACCAAGGCGACGAUCCAUAGCUGUUCUGAGAGGAAGAUCAGCCACACUGGGACUGAGACACGGCCCAGACUCCUACGGGAGGCAGCAGUGGGGAAGUAUUGGACAAUGGGGGCGAACCCUCGAUCCAGCAAUACCGCGUGUGUGAAGAAGG